Molecule: ribosomal RNA, 253 nt
Filed under: uncultured bacterium
Lineage: Bacteria
Description: partial 16S ribosomal RNA
Rfam family: Bacterial small subunit ribosomal RNA
Source: RNAcentral
CACGUAGGGGACGAGCGUUGUCCGGAUUUAUUGGGCGUAAAGCGCUCGCAGGUGGUUCGUCGCGUCGUGCGUGAAAGACCCCGGCUCAACUGGGGGAGGUCGUGCGAUACGGGCGGACUGGAGGCCAGUAGGGGGAUGCGGAAUUCCGGGUGUAGUGGUGGAAUGCGUAGAGAUCCGGAGGAACACCAGCGGCGAAGGCGGCAUCCUGGACUGGUCCUGACACUCAGGAGCGAAAGCGUGGGGAGCGAUCCGG